Long non-coding RNA from Equus caballus (horse), 608 nucleotides. RefSeq lists it as uncharacterized. NCBI's taxonomy places the organism in Eukaryota, Metazoa, Chordata, Mammalia, Perissodactyla, Equidae. The record is from RefSeq and is a predicted model, not a curated record.
GGCCAAACUCCAAGUGAGCAUACCAGGUCAUGUUGGUAUAACCAGCUUCAUGGGGGGUGGCUUUACUAAGUCCGAAGAUUCUGAUCAGUUCCUCUCUUGCCCAUACAUGGCACCACUGACUCCUGUUAGAGCACACCACUGUGAAUGAUGCAUGAACUGCACUAGGUCCAAAUGGACUAACUAGGCCUGCUGUGCCACUAUGGGAAAGAGCAGACUUUGGUGCCUCUGAAAAGCAGCUGCCUGCAGUGUCCAGUGACCUGGGGCUCCUACUGGGGAGCAGACUCCUGGAGAAGGCACGACGCUGUGUACCAUCACUGUCCUCUCUGACCAGCUAGCAUAAGAACAGAACAGAGUGCCACUGCUCAGCUUCAUGACACCUCAGGAGGAAGCUGGUGCCUUGGAAAGUCAGGCUCACGAUGUGGUCCCAGACGCUCCUCACAGCUGGGUCCAGGAAGACUCUCCCAGGCCGCCCUCCCAGAUACCUGUGUCCUCAAAUCACACAUGAAGACAUUCCCUUGACUCCUCUCUGGGCACCAGGUCUUUUUUUAUUCUUGUUGGGAUGUUAAGUGAGAGUUUGAACUCUAAAUACAAGAAUUUGCCAGAACCGA